GCGGGGAUAGUCAAGCCUGGCCAAAGGCGCAGGACUUAAGAUCCUGUCUCGAAGGAGUUCAAGGGUUCAAAUCCCUUUCCCCGCA
RNAcentral lists this transfer RNA (85 nucleotides) under Methanocella conradii HZ254. RNAcentral describes it as "tRNA-Leu (TAA) (tRNA-Leu-TAA-1-1)". It matches the Rfam family "tRNA". Rfam says of the family: Transfer RNA (tRNA) molecules are approximately 80 nucleotides in length. Lineage: Archaea; Methanobacteriati; Methanobacteriota; Methanomicrobia; Methanocellales; Methanocellaceae. The record is from Rfam by way of RNAcentral. RNAcentral also lists the same sequence under 1 other name.